AAUGAACGCUGGCGGCAUGCCUAACACAUGCAAGUCGAGCGGCCGCUCGGGGUUCGGGCUGGCGGGGGGUUACCGACGGGGGAGUAAUACAUCUGUACGUAACCGCCUCUGGAGACUGGGACGACUACAGCCGACGUAAUAUCGCAUACGACCUUAUCGUGAAAGGGUUGGAUCUUCGGAGCUCGCGCGAUUGGAGGGGCCGAUGUCAGACUAGCUAGCUGGUGUGGUAAGGGCAUACCAAGGCGACGAUCUGUAGGGGGUCUGAGAGGCCGACCAGCCACACUGGGACUGAGACACGGCCCAGACUCCUACGGGAGGCCGCAGUGGGGAAUCUUGCGCAAUGGGCGAAAGCGUGAUCCAGCAAUGCCGCGUGAGUGAUGAAGGCCUUCGGGUUGUAAAGCGCUUUUGGCGGGAACGAAGAAAAGUGUGCCAAUCUGAGGAUUUGAUGACGGUACCAGCAGAAUAAGCCCCGGCUAACUACGUG
RNAcentral lists this ribosomal RNA (484 nucleotides) under uncultured bacterium. RNAcentral describes it as "partial 16S ribosomal RNA". It matches the Rfam family "Bacterial small subunit ribosomal RNA", at positions 29 to 507 of the family's 1533-position model. The record is from RNAcentral.